UGGGAGGACUCUUGGCCUAAAAAUUACUUAUCUUAAAUAUAAGGCGAAGUUUCUCCACAUCUGACUGGGGCAGGCAGUUAUUUCACUUAUGAAUUCAUCAAUAACUUGAGUUUCUGAAAAUACUUUACUAGUUAGAAUUAAUUCCCUUUUAGAGAGAAAUCAAAUUCAUGUUAAAGAAUCACUAUUCCAAGGGACAAGCAAUAGAGAGACAUUGGUUAUAUUGUUUUACAUUAGGAAGCCUAAUUUCAAAGUAAAGUAAUGUCUGAUAAUAGAAAUUCCUAGUGUUCUGAUUCCUUACAGUCCAGUAACAAAUAGCAUGAGGUAGAAAAUAUUUAAAUUUUUGUAUAGUAUCAUAUUUAAAUCUUAUUAGUAGAAUUUGUUUAUAUCUUUUUCACUUGUGUCUCGUCAGUUAUUCUUAACUUCUGAAAUUCUUGGUCGAAAUGGAACAUAAUGUCUCAUUUGUCUGAUUUCAUCUUAGUGGGAAUAAAGAAUUAUGUUGCUUGACCUAUUUAUUUGAUAUCCACUAUGAAUAUUUGAAUUUUUUUAUUAGGAAUAAUUAAACAAUAGGAGUUCACUUUUAUACUAUACAAGACCAUUUGUUAUGUUGGGCUAGAAAUGACAGGAUAAUAAAAGAUGAAUCUUAUACUUUGCAUUUCUUAUGAUUUCACUAGUUCUACGAUAUACUGAUAAAUGAAUGCCAAAUUCAGUGAAAAAAUACACUUCCAUGUUUUUGUAGACUAGAAAUAUGCCUUGAUUUGUUAAUCAUAUUGCACAUUUCUCUUCUUCAAUAAUUUUGCAGAGUGAAUU
Molecule: long non-coding RNA, 807 nt
Filed under: Bos taurus (domestic cattle)
Lineage: Eukaryota; Metazoa; Chordata; Mammalia; Artiodactyla; Bovidae
Description: long non-coding RNA NONBTAT015076
Source: RNAcentral